RNAcentral lists this ribosomal RNA (494 nucleotides) under uncultured bacterium. Its description in RNAcentral is "partial 16S ribosomal RNA". It matches the Rfam family "Bacterial small subunit ribosomal RNA", at positions 28 to 507 of the family's 1533-position model. The record is from RNAcentral.
GACGAACGCUGGCGGCGUGCUUAACACAUGCAAGUCGAACGGAAAGGCCUGCUUUCCCUUGUGGAUUGCGGGUACUCGAGUGGCGAACGGGUGAGUAACACGUGAGUGAUCUGCCCCCAACUUGGGUAUAAGCCUGGGAAACUGGGUCUAAUUCCCGAUAGGACUGCAGGGUGGUGCCUGUGGUGGAAAACGAUUUUCUAGUGGUUGGGGAUGAACUCGCGGCCUAUCAGCUUGUUGGUGGGGUAAUGGCCUACCAAGGCGGCGACGGGUAGCCGGCCUGAGAGGGUGGACGGCCACAUUGGGACUGAGAUACGGCCCAGACUCCUACGGGAGGCAGCAGUGGGGAAUAUUGCACAAUGGGCGGAAGCCUGAUGCAGCGACGCCGCGUGGGGGAUGACGGCCUCCGGGUUGUAAACUCCUUUCGACCGCGAGGAAGCCACCUGGUUGGAAGGGUGGUGACGGUAGUGGUAGAAGAAGCACCGGCUAACUACGUG